RNAcentral lists this ribosomal RNA (1478 nucleotides) under uncultured bacterium. RNAcentral describes it as "bacterial SSU rRNA". It matches the Rfam family "Bacterial small subunit ribosomal RNA". The record is from RNAcentral.
AGAGUUUGAUCCUGGCUCAGGAUGAACGCUGGCGGCGUGCUUAACACAUUCAAGUCGAACGGUGAAAUGCCUUCGGGCAUGGAACAGUGGCGGACGGGUGAGUAACGCGUGAGCAACCUGCCAUACAGUGGGGGAUAACACAGGGAAACUUGUGCUAAUACCGCAUGACACAUCGGGACCGCAUGAUUCUGAUGUCAAAGAGCAAUUGCUGUAUGAUGGGCUCGCGUAUGAUUAGACAGUUGGCAGGGUAACGGCCUACCAAAUCAACGAUCAUUAGCCGAACUGAGAGGUUGAACGGCCACAUUGGAACUGAGAAACGGUCCAGACUCCUACGGGAGGCAGCAGUGGGGAAUAUUGGGCAAUGGGCGAAAGCCUGACCCAGCGACGCCGCGUGAGGGAAGAAGGUCUUCGGAUUGUAAACCUCUUUCAGCAGGGAAGAAGGAAGUGACGGUACCUGCAGAAGAAGUCACGGCUAACUACGUGCCAGCAGCCGCGGUAAUACGUAGGGGGCAAGCGUUAUCCGGAUUUACUGGGUGUAAAGGGAGCGUAGACGGCGAGUCAAGUCUGAUGUGAAAGGUGUGGGCUCAACUCACAAACUGCAUUGGAAACUGGUUUGCUAGAGUGUCGGAGAGGUAAGUGGAAUUCCUAGUGUAGCGGUGAAAUGCGUAGAUAUUAGGAGGAACACCAGUGGCGAAGGCGGCUUACUGGACGAUCACUGACGUUGAGGCUCGAAGGCGUGGGGAGCAAACAGGAUUAGAUACCCUGGUAGUCCACGCGGUAAACGAUGAAUACUAGGUGUUGGGUGGCGAUAGCCAUUCGGUGCCGCAGCAAACGCAAUAAGUAUUCCACCUGGGGAGUACGUUCGCAAGAAUGAAACUCAAAGGAAUUGACGGGGACCCGCACAAGCGGUGGAGCAUGUGGUUUAAUUCGAAGCAACGCGAAGAACCUUACCAAAUCUUGACAUCCCUCUGACAGUACUGAUAAACGGUAUUUCCUUCGGGACAGAGGAGACAGGUGGUGCAUGGUUGUCGUCAGCUCGUGUCGUGAGAUGUUGGGUUAAGUCCCGCAACGAGCGCAACCCUUGUCGUUAGUAGCCAGCAGGUAAGGCUGGGCACUCUAAUGAGACUGCCGGGGAUAACCCGGAGGAAGGUGGGGAUGACGUCAAAUCAUCAUGCCCCUUAUGAUUUGGGCUACACACGUGCUACAAUGGCGUAAACAAAGAGAAGCGAGAGAGUGAUCUGGAGCAAAUCUCAAAAAUAACGUCUCAGUUCGGAUUGUAGUCUGCAACUCGACUACAUGAAGCUGGAAUCGCUAGUAAUCGCGAAUCAGCAUGUCGCGGUGAAUACGUUCCCGGGUCUUGUACACACCGCCCGUCACACCAUGGAAGUCGGAAAUGCCCGAAGUACGUGACUUAACCGUAAGGAGAGAGCGUCCGAAGGCAGGUCUGAUAACUGGGGUGAAGUCGUAACAAGGUAACC